UACGUAGGGGGCAAGCGUUGUCCGGAUUUAUUGGGCGUAAAGGGCUCGUAGGCGGUUUGUCGCGUCGGGAGUGAAAACUCAGGGCUUAACCCUGAGCCUGCUUCCGAUACGGGCAGACUAGAGGUAUGCAGGGGAGAACGGAAUUCCUGGUGUAGCGGUGAAAUGCGCAGAUAUCAGGAGGAACACCGGUGGCGAAGGCGGUUCUCUGGGCAUUACCUGACGCUGAGGAGCGAAAGUGUGGGGAGCGAACAGG
Molecule: ribosomal RNA, 253 nt
Filed under: uncultured bacterium
Lineage: Bacteria
Description: partial 16S ribosomal RNA
Rfam family: Bacterial small subunit ribosomal RNA
Source: RNAcentral